UCUUCAUGAUAAUCUCUCGUUAUUUUAUAUAACGCAAUUGCGUAAAGGACAUGAGCUUACAUGAAUGAAAUAUAUUCGGGACGAUUAAUAUAAAUAGCCGUUUGAUUAUUAUUAAUUCAUAAAGUAAAUAGUCAACGUCCCGAUAGCUUCUGGAUAAAUCGUAGCAAAGGCUUUACUCAACUACUGUACGAGAUGUUUAACAUGAAGAUAUUUUUGUUGGCAGUUUUGGUAGUGGCUUUGUUUGCUGCCGAAACCUUCGCAUGCGGCCAACCCGGCGCAGGAUGCGGCAGCGACUCGGCUUGCUGCUCCGGUUCAUGUCAAAGAGCUAUGAGGUCAUUUUACGCAUGUGCAUAAGCUAUUUUUUAAAAAUGAAUCAGUUAAAAUCAUGUGACAAUCACUAUUUGGCAAUGAAUAGUCACUAUUUUCACUAUUUCAAACCGAAAUUAAAAGAUGUAGUCUGAAUAUAGAAAUGUCAUUUGCUUACUAAAAAUUUCAAAAUUGUAUUUGAAUAUAUUAAAAAAUAAAUAUUUUCUACGGCCUCACG
Microplitis mediator is the source of this 544-nucleotide long non-coding RNA. RefSeq lists it as uncharacterized. The transcript is spliced from 3 exons. Lineage: Eukaryota; Metazoa; Arthropoda; Insecta; Hymenoptera; Braconidae. The record is from RefSeq and is a predicted model, not a curated record.